Molecule: long non-coding RNA, 410 nt
Organism: Panicum virgatum (switchgrass)
Lineage: Eukaryota; Viridiplantae; Streptophyta; Magnoliopsida; Poales; Poaceae
Exons: 2
Source: RefSeq, a predicted model, not a curated record
CACGCACGUAUUGAACAAAUAUUCUAUAUUGUAUAUUUAAACAUAUAGAGAUUAGUUAAAAAUUCAUCUGCACCCAAUCAUAUUUCAAACAUCUGAUAUCUCAAUGUACUUUCACAAAUCGGUAGCUUGGACACUGUAAAAAUGUAAAAAAUUGGCAGAAGCAAGUUAACAUUCUCAAGAGUAUAAGACACAGAUACUGUACAUAGGAGAAGAACAAGCAAACUUUAAGUAGCAAGUGGUAGACUUGAUCAUCUGAAUGCUUAUUUGCUGAGAAGUUCAUAUCUGAAUCAUCCAAACCUCUUCCAUAGCCAAACUUCUGGGCACCAUCAUACAUCCCUGGUACUUGAAAUAUUUAGAUAUCUACUGUUGCAAUACUGCAUUGCCAGCACAAAUGUUAGAUAAAUACACAA